ACAGAGGGUGCAAACGUUGCUCGGAAUUACUGGGCGUAAAGCGCGUGUAGGCGGACCACCAAGUCGGACGUGAAAGCCCUGAGCUCAACUCAGGAACUGCAUCCGAAACUGGCGGUCUGGAGUAGUGGAGAGGAAAGCAGAAUUCCUGGUGUAGAGGUGAAAUUCGUAGAUAUCAGGAGGAACACCGGUGGCGAAGGCGGCUUUCUGGACACUUACUGACGCUGAGACGCGAAAGCGUGGGGAGCAAACAGGA
RNAcentral lists this ribosomal RNA (253 nucleotides) under uncultured prokaryote. Its description in RNAcentral is "partial 16S ribosomal RNA". It matches the Rfam family "Bacterial small subunit ribosomal RNA", at positions 525 to 777 of the family's 1533-position model. The record is from RNAcentral.